Molecule: ribosomal RNA, 387 nt
Filed under: uncultured bacterium
Lineage: Bacteria
Description: bacterial SSU rRNA
Rfam family: Bacterial small subunit ribosomal RNA
Source: RNAcentral
AUUGAACGCUGGCGGCAUGCCUUACACAUGCAAGUCGAACGGUAACGGGCCUUCGGGUGCCGACGAGUGGCGAACGGGUGAGUAAUGCAUCGGAACGUACCUUUCAGUGGGGGAUAACGUAGCGAAAGUUACGCUAAUACCGCAUAUUCUGUGAGCAGGAAAGCAGGGGAUCGCAAGACCUUGCGCUGAUUGAGCGGCCGAUGUCAGAUUAGCUAGUUGGUGAGGUAAAGGCUCACCAAGGCGACGAUCUGUAGCGGGUCUGAGAGGAUGAUCCGCCACACUGGAACUGAGACACGGUCCAGACUCCUACGGGAGGCAGCAGUGGGGAAUUUUGGACAAUGGGGCAACCCUGAUCCAGCCAUGCCGCGUGAGUGAAGAAGGCCUCGG